RNAcentral lists this ribosomal RNA (2902 nucleotides) under Escherichia coli. RNAcentral's name for it is "bacterial LSU rRNA". It matches the Rfam family "Bacterial large subunit ribosomal RNA". Lineage: Bacteria; Pseudomonadati; Pseudomonadota; Gammaproteobacteria; Enterobacterales; Enterobacteriaceae. The record is from RNAcentral.
UUAAGCGACUAAGCGUACACGGUGGAUGCCCUGGCAGUCAGAGGCGAUGAAGGACGUGCUAAUCUGCGAUAAGCGUCGGUAAGGUGAUAUGAACCGUUAUAACCGGCGAUUUCCGAAUGGGGAAACCCAGUGUGAUUCGUCACACUAUCAUUAACUGAAUCCAUAGGUUAAUGAGGCGAACCGGGGGAACUGAAACAUCUAAGUACCCCGAGGAAAAGAAAUCAACCGAGAUUCCCCCAGUAGCGGCGAGCGAACGGGGAGCAGCCCAGAGCCUGAAUCAGUGUGUGUGUUAGUGGAAGCGUCUGGAAAGGCGCGCGAUACAGGGUGACAGCCCCGUACACAAAAAUGCACAUACUGUGAGCUCGAUGAGUAGGGCGGGACACGUGGUAUCCUGUCUGAAUAUGGGGGGACCAUCCUCCAAGGCUAAAUACUCCUGACUGACCGAUAGUGAACCAGUACCGUGAGGGAAAGGCGAAAAGAACCCCGGCGAGGGGAGUGAAAAAGAACCUGAAACCGUGUAUGUACAAGCAGUGGGAGCACGCUUAGGCGUGUGACUGCGUACCUUUUGUAUAAUGGGUCAGCGACUUAUAUUCUGUAGCAAGGUUAACCGAAUAGGGGAGCCGAAGGGAAACCGAGUCUUAACUGGGCGUUAAGUUGCAGGGUAUAGACCCGAAACCCGGUGAUCUAGCCAUGGGCAGGUUGAAGGUUGGGUAACACUAACUGGAGGACCGAACCGACUAAUGUUGAAAAAUUAGCGGAUGACUUGUGGCUGGGGGUGAAAGGCCAAUCAAACCGGGAGAUAGCUGGUUCUCCCCGAAAGCUAUUUAGGUAGCGCCUCGUGAAUUCAUCUCCGGGGGUAGAGCACUGUUUCGGCAAGGGGGUCAUCCCGACUUACCAACCCGAUGCAAACUGCGAAUACCGGAGAAUGUUAUCACGGGAGACACACGGCGGGUGCUAACGUCCGUCGUGAAGAGGGAAACAACCCAGACCGCCAGCUAAGGUCCCAAAGUCAUGGUUAAGUGGGAAACGAUGUGGGAAGGCCCAGACAGCCAGGAUGUUGGCUUAGAAGCAGCCAUCAUUUAAAGAAAGCGUAAUAGCUCACUGGUCGAGUCGGCCUGCGCGGAAGAUGUAACGGGGCUAAACCAUGCACCGAAGCUGCGGCAGCGACGCUGAUGCGUUGUUGGGUAGGGGAGCGUUCUGUAAGCCUGCGAAGGUGUGCUGUGAGGCAUGCUGGAGGUAUCAGAAGUGCGAAUGCUGACAUAAGUAACGAUAAAGCGGGUGAAAAGCCCGCUCGCCGGAAGACCAAGGGUUCCUGUCCAACGUUAAUCGGGGCAGGGUGAGUCGACCCCUAAGGCGAGGCCGAAAGGCGUAGUCGAUGGGAAACAGGUUAAUAUUCCUGUACUUGGUGUUACUGCGAAGGGGGGACGGAGAAGGCUAUGUUGGCCGGGCGACGGUUGUCCCGGUUUAAGCGUGUAGGCUGGUUUUCCAGGCAAAUCCGGAAAAUCAAGGCUGAGGCGUGAUGACGAGGCACUACGGUGCUGAAGCAACAAAUGCCCUGCUUCCAGGAAAAGCCUCUAAGCAUCAGGUAACAUCAAAUCGUACCCCAAACCGACACAGGUGGUCAGGUAGAGAAUACCAAGGCGCUUGAGAGAACUCGGGUGAAGGAACUAGGCAAAAUGGUGCCGUAACUUCGGGAGAAGGCACGCUGAUAUGUAGGUGAAGUCCCUCGCGGAUGGAGCUGAAAUCAGUCGAAGAUACCAGCUGGCUGCAACUGUUUAUUAAAAACACAGCACUGUGCAAACACGAAAGUGGACGUAUACGGUGUGACGCCUGCCCGGUGCCGGAAGGUUAAUUGAUGGGGUCAGCGCAAGCGAAGCUCUUGAUCGAAGCCCCGGUAAACGGCGGCCGUAACUAUAACGGUCCUAAGGUAGCGAAAUUCCUUGUCGGGUAAGUUCCGACCUGCACGAAUGGCGUAAUGAUGGCCAGGCUGUCUCCACCCGAGACUCAGUGAAAUUGAACUCGCUGUGAAGAUGCAGUGUACCCGCGGCAAGACGGAAAGACCCCGUGAACCUUUACUAUAGCUUGACACUGAACAUUGAGCCUUGAUGUGUAGGAUAGGUGGGAGGCUUUGAAGUGUGGACGCCAGUCUGCAUGGAGCCGACCUUGAAAUACCACCCUUUAAUGUUUGAUGUUCUAACGUGGACCCGUAAUCCGGGUUGCGGACAGUGUCUGGUGGGUAGUUUGACUGGGGCGGUCUCCUCCUAAAGAGUAACGGAGGAGCACGAAGGUUGGCUAAUCCUGGUCGGACAUCAGGAGGUUAGUGCAAUGGCAUAAGCCAGCUUGACUGCGAGCGUGACGGCGCGAGCAGGUGCGAAAGCAGGUCAUAGUGAUCCGGUGGUUCUGAAUGGAAGGGCCAUCGCUCAACGGAUAAAAGGUACUCCGGGGAUAACAGGCUGAUACCGCCCAAGAGUUCAUAUCGACGGCGGUGUUUGGCACCUCGAUGUCGGCUCAUCACAUCCUGGGGCUGAAGUAGGUCCCAAGGGUAUGGCUGUUCGCCAUUUAAAGUGGUACGCGAGCUGGGUUUAGAACGUCGUGAGACAGUUCGGUCCCUAUCUGCCGUGGGCGCUGGAGAACUGAGGGGGGCUGCUCCUAGUACGAGAGGACCGGAGUGGACGCAUCACUGGUGUUCGGGUUGUCAUGCCAAUGGCACUGCCCGGUAGCUAAAUGCGGAAGAGAUAAGUGCUGAAAGCAUCUAAGCACGAAACUUGCCCCGAGAUGAGUUCUCCCUGACUCCUUGAGAGUCCUGAAGGAACGUUGAAGACGACGACGUUGAUAGGCCGGGUGUGUAAGCGCAGCGAUGCGUUGAGCUAACCGGUACUAAUGAACCGUGAGGCUUAACCUU